This 772-nucleotide ribosomal RNA is filed under the name uncultured Neocallimastigales. Its description in RNAcentral is "partial large subunit ribosomal RNA". It matches the Rfam family "Eukaryotic large subunit ribosomal RNA", at positions 24 to 632 of the family's 3401-position model. The record is from RNAcentral. Lineage: Eukaryota; Fungi; Neocallimastigomycota; Neocallimastigomycetes; Neocallimastigales.
GUAGUCUCGCACAGAUGCAUAUCAAUAAGCGGAGGAAAAGAAACUAACAAGGAUUCCCCUAGUAACGGCGAGUGAAGCGGGAAGAGCUCAAAUUUGAAAUCUUAAAGGGUUUCCCUUUACGAAUUGUAGUUUAAAGAAGUGUUUUCUGUUAAGGUUUUGGUAAAAGUUCUUUGGAAUAGGACAUCAUAGAGGGUGAGAAUCCCGUAUUUGACCUUUACUUUCAACUUUGUGAUACACUUUCAAAGAGUCGGAUUGUUUGGGAAUGCAGUCCAAAAUGGGUGGUAAAUUUCAUCUAAAGCUAAAUAUUGGCGAGAGACCGAUAGCGAACAAGUACCGUGAGGGAAAGAUGAAAAGAACUUUGAAAAGAGAGUUAAACAGUACGUGAAAUUGUCAAAGGGAAGCGUUUGACACCAGUGUUGUUUUUCUGAAAAUCAAUUAAAGAACUGUUUAUGCUAAGCUGUUUAGACUUUAUCAGCUAACUGUUUAGUUUUGAGCUUUUCUUUAAUGCACUUUUCAGUUAACAAGUCAACAUCAAUUUCUUUUGCUGUAAAAAAGCUUGAGGAAGGUGGCUUGAGAUUCGUCUUAAGUGUUUAUAGCCUCUUGCCUAUGCAGUCGGAGAGAUCGAGGUCUGCAGCGUAGAUCCUUCGGGGCUAAAUGCAUUUGUGCUAAGUUAUAGCAUUUUAUAGACAACUUGUUGACUAUGAUUUGUCUUGUAGCUUACUCGCUUAUGUUAUUUUACCUACGCUUAGGAUGUUGAAGACUCUACAGAGAU